UAUGUUUAGUCCCUAAAUUUUCCUAAUAUGGUAACAAUUGUACAUUAGAAUUACAUUUGGGAAGUUAAAGUAACUAACUGAGCCAAAAUGAAGCUUGUUGCUGUAAUAUAUAAUUUAUUAGUUGAGCAAAGUACAUGAACAGUAACCUAAAAAAUUCAUUACAUAAACUCAAACUUCCUAGUAGUGUGCUGAGAUGAUGGCUAUGAUUUAGUGGUUGACCAACUUCCUUAUACACAUAGUGUUCUUCUAAUUUCCAUUAAAUUAAACUAUGUUGCAAGAGCAUUAACUGAGCAAUAAUGUCUCUUUAUAUGGUACCACCAUUCCCUUAGUUUUUAGUUACGUGAAAAUUGUCUGUUAAGACUAAAGUUUGAGAGUGAAGAUUUCUGAGCUUGGAGUUGGGUUGCUGAGGAUUAUAGAUUGUGCAGAGAUAGAGAAUUAAGUAAACUAAGCCACAAAGAAGGUAAGAAUCUGAUUUUACAUUCUUGAAUUCAAAGUUCUUCAUUUCUUAGAAAAAUGUGAUGAAAUACUAGCUUUUGAGUCACAAAAUUUAUGGCUAAGGGUUGUUAUAAUCCAUGAAUUGAUGUUAGAGGUUGUUAAUACAGUUAAAAACAAAAAUAAUGAGAGUUAACCGAACCAAAUUGGUUAAGAAAUGAAUCUGUAGUAGUGAAAUUCGCUAUACAUGUGAAAUUAUGGGAAAAUGGCAAAAAUCUUGAAUUCGAGUAAUCAAGUUGUGUUUAUGUGAUUUGAAGAUUGUUAUCAUGUUAGUUAAGUGUUAUAAGCAUGUACAGGAG
RNAcentral lists this long non-coding RNA (791 nucleotides) under Panax ginseng (ginseng). RNAcentral describes it as "long non-coding RNA (PGIN_LNC018972)". The record is from RNAcentral. Lineage: Eukaryota; Viridiplantae; Streptophyta; Magnoliopsida; Apiales; Araliaceae.